GAUGAACGCUGGCGGCGUGCCUAAUACAUGCAAGUCGAGCGAACAGACGAGGAGCUUGCUCCUCUGACGUUAGCGGCGGACGGGUGAGUAACACGUGGAUAACCUACCUAUAUGACUGGGAUAACUUCGGGAAACCGGAGAUACUACCGGAUAAUAUAUUGAACCGCAUGGAUCAAUAGUGAAAGACGGUUUUGCUGUCACUUAUAGAUGGAUCCGCGCCGCAUUAGCUAGUUGGUAAGGUAACGGCUUACCAAGGCAACGAUGCGUAGCCGAUCUGAGAGGGUGAUCGGCCACACUGGAACUGAGACACGGUCCAGACUCCUACGGGAGGCAGCAGUAGGGAAUCUUCCGCAAUGGGCGAAAGCUUGACGGAGCAACGCCGCGUGAGUGAUGAAGGUCUUCGGAUCGUAAAACUCUGUUAUUAGGGAAGAAAAAAUGUGUAAGUAACUAUGCACGUCUUGACGGUACCUAAUCAGAAAGCCCCGGCUAACUACGUG
Molecule: ribosomal RNA, 497 nt
Filed under: uncultured bacterium
Lineage: Bacteria
Description: partial 16S ribosomal RNA
Rfam family: Bacterial small subunit ribosomal RNA
Source: RNAcentral